GCCCGCCUAGCUCAAUCGGAUAGAGCGUCAGACUCUUAUGUCGGUCGCGAAAUGUGAUCAUAAAAUCUGAAGGCUGCGAGUUCGACCCUCGCGGUGGGCU
This is a non-coding RNA of Mucidula mucida, 100 nucleotides long. NCBI's taxonomy places the organism in Eukaryota, Fungi, Basidiomycota, Agaricomycetes, Agaricales, Physalacriaceae. The record is from the annotation of a GenBank genome assembly.